RNAcentral lists this ribosomal RNA (301 nucleotides) under uncultured bacterium. RNAcentral's name for it is "partial 16S ribosomal RNA". It matches the Rfam family "Bacterial small subunit ribosomal RNA", at positions 509 to 807 of the family's 1533-position model. The record is from RNAcentral.
CAGCCGCCACGGGAAUACGGAGGGUGCAAGCGUUAAUCGGAAUUACUGGGCGUAAAGCGCACGCAGGCGGUCUGACAAGUCAGAUGUGAAAUCCCCGGGCUUAACCUGGGAACUGCAUUUGAAACUGUCAGGCUGGAGUCUUGUAGAGGGGGGUGGAAUUCCAGGUGUAGCGGUGAAAUGCGUAGAGAUCUGGAGGAAUACCGGUGGCGAAGGUGGCCCCCUGGACAAAGACUGACGCUCAGGUGCGAAAGCGUGGGGAGCAAACAGGAUUAGAUACCCGUGUAGUCCCUGUCUCUUAUAC